Gallus gallus (chicken) is the source of this 2601-nucleotide long non-coding RNA. The record is from Ensembl. NCBI's taxonomy places the organism in Eukaryota, Metazoa, Chordata, Aves, Galliformes, Phasianidae.
UCUUGCUUGCUUUUUUGCUGUUUCACCAUUACACUGGCAGCACUGGGGCACUCUGCCAGCUUCCCCCCACCCUCCAAAUAGUAAAUGUCCUCUGGUUAAUGUGAGGUGGCUGUCUGCUGAGGAGCCAUAUGGCUGAGAUGCGUCUCCCACGAUUGCAAAGGUGGUCUUGUCCGUGCUGAAUCUCAUCAGGUGAGGUAAGAAAAACAUCCAGGGCUCUGUGAUUGGUUUAGAACACCUUAUUGCACAGAUCACCUCAAGCUUCUGUUCAAAAAGGUGAAGAUAUGGUUACAGUGGGUGUCUUGGAGAUAAGAAGGUGACACUGGAGAGGUCAGGUGGAGUCCUACAUCCUCCAUGCCUGGAGAAACAGCGCUGUGUCUAAGCUGAGCUCUUGUAGGAGAUAGCUGCCUAUGGGUACUGAGCCCUGGGUUACUUGGCCAAAGAGGUUCCUAAGAAUUUGGGUUGCUUGCUAAGAUUUGCAGUUGAGCAGGUAGUGCUGUGUUGUUGCAGAGCACAGGAUGCAGCCAAGGGCCCCACAGGAGUGGGGCUGCACCACCAUAGCUUGCCAGCCCCUCCAUGCCCUUCCCCCACGCAGCUCCUAGCUGGGCAUGCUGGGCCUUGGAACUUACCAGAACUUACCCCUACCAACAAACAGUGGUCAUGGAGUGAUUUCACCAAGUCAGUCAGUUUAGCCAGGGUUCCAAAAGUUAAAUGCGCUGGCAACAUUUUUCUCCUAGGUUUGUAGGUGAGAGAUACAUAAAUAAGUGACUUCAGAGCUUAGUGUGUACCUCCUGCUGCAAGACACAAGACCUGCAGGUUCUCAGCUUUAGGCAUUAGUCACAACUGGAGAUAGCUCUGCGGUCAUGCUGGCUGGCUGAGUAAGAGAGAUGAUGGCUUUAUUUCAGCUUCCUUGCUAGGAAUCUCAGAGCCAGGCUUCCCCAUCUGUGCAAGAGAACCUCUCCCAAACCUGGCUUAUCUCUCUGAUUCCUUGUUAUUUUAGCUUUCAGCCUGUGCUCGCUUCACUUCAGCCCUGUGAGCACAUUGGCGUGUGGUGCUCCUGCAGUGUUAGAUGCUGCAUCAGUGGUAUCGGCGCGUCCUCCUCCACCGCUUCCUUCCCCUCGCCCCAGCUCUGGCUGCCCCGGUGCAUCUGCAGCGUCAUCAUCACUGGCUGCAACAAAACUGGUGUUGCUGCCUCACCAGCCCUCCCGAGGAAGUCAUUUUUCUCCUAGCUGAGGAACAGCUUCCAGGUGCCUCACUGCUUCAAAGCCCACAUUACUGUUUUUCAAGUCCAAGUUGGCUAGGGCCCUGGGCAGUCUGAUCCAGUGGGUGGCAACCAGCCCAUGGUGGGGAUUGGAGCUUGCUGAUCUUUGGUCCCCUCCAGCCCAAACUGUUCUGUGAUUCUGUAAUUCUGUGAUUUUUUUUACCUAAUACUGACUGUUUGUGCUCUGACUUCAGAAUUUUGUUUUAAAAAGAUGAAUUUUCUUUGCAUUCAACUCUGCCUCCCUGAUUUUCCACUUACUCCUAAACCUCAGAGGGAAAAUGUGUCUUCCUUCCCCCCAGACUUGGUUUUCUCUUCAGCUGGGACUGAUUUAAUAGUAAGUGGGCUGUUAUGCUGCACUUCCAAGAUUGCUCAAAAGAUGUUGCAGAAAACUGAGCUGUAAUGAAACAGAAAACGAAUUCAGAAUAGAACGAAUAACCCUUUCUUCAACCUCCAGUUAGAAAAAGAGAUGAUUCACUGUAGAAAGUCUAGAUGAAGUUUCUCCAAUUCAGUUCUUGUUUAUUGUCUGUGAGGCGGUGCCGUACUUGUCGUUCUGGCAAUGUGGUAUUGCUUUACUUGAAAAUGGCCUAGUGGCUUUAUUGAUUCAUUCAGGAAGAUGGUUUUAUUUUGUUGGUAAAUUAAAAGUCUGUUUUUGCUUAUAUCAUCAAGAAUGUGGAGCAUACUUUAUGUUUGAGACCACAGAGUAUUUUGGAAAAUGUAAGUAAAGGUAUAAUAAGUUAUGACAAGUAAUACAAUAAAGAUACAGCACAAUUAAAGACGGCACUUGGAAAUCUGUGUGAAAACAUACACUGUUCACAUCAGCGUUCUGUCAACUGUUGUAUUCUCAUGCUUUCCUCCAAGAGGAGGGCCCCAAAAGACCACUGUGGUAGAAGCUGAGCUGUACGCAUUAGCUGCACAGAGGCCCAGUGGCCAUUUUGGGGGCUGGGGGACACCGCUUGGGGCGGGGAAGGGAAGUUCUUGGAGCUCACAACAAAUUGCAUGGGAUUUAAACAGAAGUUUUAAGUGCGGCUCUUUAUUUUGCAUUUCCCUAACAGGAUUUCUUCAAAAUUAUUCCAAAAAAGACUGUGAGUUAAUCAAGCACAGUUGCUGAGAAGCGGCCCAUACUCCUCUGGAGCCCCGUGGCAGCCCCCACAGCGUGUUCCCUGCCAGCCCCCAGCUCUGCAGUUUUCAACAGAAAUGCAAACUGAAAAUCCAGCUUUGCUGGUGUUGAGGAGGGUUCCAGCUGGAAAUACACGUUGAAGCAUCAGAACUGCAGCUGUCCAGGUGGAAUUGCAAAUGCCAGGUAAGAACCCUGACUCCCUCCCAGCAUGAAGAGGUACAGGGAU